Non-coding RNA from Ictidomys tridecemlineatus (thirteen-lined ground squirrel), 72 nucleotides. Lineage: Eukaryota; Metazoa; Chordata; Mammalia; Rodentia; Sciuridae. The record is from Rfam.
UGGGGUGUAGCUCAGUGGUAGAGCACUUGCCUCCCAUGUACCAGGCACUUGGUUCAAUCCCCAGAACCUCAA